Molecule: ribosomal RNA, 319 nt
Filed under: uncultured soil bacterium
Lineage: Bacteria
Description: bacterial SSU rRNA
Rfam family: Bacterial small subunit ribosomal RNA
Source: RNAcentral
AGAACGAACGCUGGCGGCAUGCCUAAUACAUGCAAGUCGAACGAACACUUCGGUGUUAGUGGCGCACGGGUGCGUAACGCGUGGGAAUCUGCCCUUGGGUUCGGAAUAACAGUUGGAAACGACUGCUAAUACCGGAUGAUAUCGAAAGAUCAAAGAUUUAUCGCCCAGGGAUGAGCCCGCGUAGGAUUAGCUAGUUGGUGAGGUAAAGGCUCACCAAGGCGACGAUCCUUAGCUGGUCUGAGAGGAUGAUCAGCCACACUGGGACUGAGACACGGCCCAGACUCCUACGGGAGGCAGCAGUAGGGAAUAUUGGACAAAU